GGUAGUCACACAAGGCAAAGGCAUGUUGGGGGUGGGGGGAGCGGACAUUGGAACACACACACACACACAUGCUCGCACACACAACCAGCCAGACAAUCGGGCCAGUGUGUCUGGGGCCUCGGAGCCCAGUGAAUUAGGAGUUUGAUAAGGGUUUUCUCUUUCUCUCGCUUGCCGGCCUUGGACAAUCUCCCCCCAGUUUUCCUCGACGCCACCCCCGGCGCUGCCAACCCUCCUCCCCCCGCCUCCCUUCUCUUCCCUGUGCCCAGACUCUUGUUCGGGGCCUUGAAACAGUGAGCUGUCUUUGUUCGAAAUACAGGUGAACGGCAAUCAUGUGAUUAACACACACACACAUAAAAAGCUUUUUAACAGCGCCCGCCCGGCCUCAGAACCGCCCAGAGAGGAGCCGCCCUGGAUGGACAGAGGGACGGAGGGACGCGCAUCCAGCCGGUUGCGUCCAGCUGCUCGCAGCAGUCUCCGACACUCGCUGCUGCCUGCCCGCUGCCCGCCUGCCUGGCAUCUCUCGAUCCCGGCAACACUGUGCAACAAGGAAGGGACUUCCACGGGAGGAAAUGUCCCUGUCGGCAGAAGGAGGCAAGUGGAGGCUGGUGGCCCUGGAACCCGGUCCAACCAGCCCCAGGACCUGAAGCCGUAAGAUGGAGAGGGGGGCCCUCCCACCGGCCGCCCCCACCCGGGCCACCUCCUUGCUCUGAGACAAGACAUCUUCCCACAUCCACCAUCUUGCUUGACCCGCACAACAGCCCCCGAGGCAGGAGUGACCCCCCUCCUUCCACAGGUGGAGACUGAGGUUCCGUGGGGGCUGCUGCCCACCCCUGCAGAGGCCCAGGGGCUUGGGGAGGAGACUUAGGUCGAUCACAGCAGCCCCAGCUACCCUGUCCGCAAUCACAGGAGCCAGAGCCCUGAGGAGGUUGUGUUCAGGUGCCUCAGAUGUCCGCUCUGUCCCCGUGUCUGCAGAGCCGUGAAACAGAGCUCCUCGCGGUGCUAGCAGUGGGCACUCGCCCGUAACCACGGAGCUGGGGCUGCGGCCUUCGGGCCACAGCGAGAAGAGGAGCCACAGUCCAGGAGGAGAGAGAACCCAGUAAAGAGCCAGCAUGCUGCACAACAGGACACCUGGGAGCUCACCACUAGCUGGGACAUUGAGGAAGGAAGGCUUCUCAGAGCAGGUGACCGAGGAUGGAACCUGAAAAGAUGAGGAUAAGUGAACUAGGCAAAGAAAUUGAGACGGAAGCUGGGAGGGGGGCUGGCAUACGGGGUGGGGCUGGGGCUGGGGAGAAGGUGAGUGGUGUGUGAUGGGGUAAAGGGGCCAUACCAGUGUGCCAGAGCAGAGUGGGGGCAGGGCAGGUGGGAGAGGUGGGCAGGGGAGGAACUGCGUGGGCUGCCGAGGGUAGUCGGGGAGCUCCGAGGACCUAGUGUGCCCCGAUACAGUGCAUGAACUAGAUCCUGAGGGCAGUGCAGGGGUCACUGGAGGAUUUUCAAGGGGUCAGAUUUGUGUUCUGGAAAGAUCAUAUGGGCUGGGUCUGUGCCAGUCUGGUUUAUUACCGUUUUCCCAGCACCCAGAUCAGUGCCUGGCAUACAGUAGGUGCUCAAUGAAUGUUUUAAAUCAAUACACGAAUACCAACAGUGUACCCUGAGGUAGUGGUUAACUCCAGUCAUAGGACCUUGGGCCUCAGCUCCCUCCUUUGUAAAACGAGGGUAACAACACCUGUCUCUUGGGGGUGCCGAAAUGGCGAAGGGAUGGAGCUUGACGCAGGGCUUUGCUCGGUGUCCUGCAUGAGGUCCGUGCUCCAUUACUGCUCCCUUUCUGCUACGUGCACAGGACGCACCGUGGGCGAGGCUGUGGGCGAGACGGAGGCAGGGAGCAGGAAACCGAGGUGCAGAGAGGUGAAGUGAUUUGCCCAAGGCCCCAAGGCUGGGAGGACACGGAGCCACAGGGUAAGCACAGGACAGGGCCCUGCCUGGCGGCCACGCACCACAAGACACGGGGACGCCAACUGGACUCCGUUACUGCCACCUCGACCAAGUACAAGGGGAGGCCGAUUUCCAUGGCGAUUUGUUAAAGCAAACUCUGUAUAAACAGUUUAUACAAAGAUAUAGAGUAUGACCACCGGCUACCCCCUUCAUGCUCAGCGGUCGGGGACUGUCACGGUCCUGGGACAGAGUCUGAUGCAGCCAUUAAAAAUGAUGUUUAGGGGGUGCCUAACAUCAGUCCCUUGAGCUCAGUCCCUUGAGCAUCUGGCUCUUGAUUUCGGCUCAGGUCAUGACCUCAGGGUCAUGGCAUCGAGCCCCGAGUGGGCUCCGAGCUCAGCAGGGAGUCUGCUUGAGGUUCUCUCUCCCUCUGCCCCUCCCCCAA
This is a long non-coding RNA of Ailuropoda melanoleuca (giant panda), 2368 nucleotides long. RefSeq lists it as uncharacterized. The transcript has 7 exons. The record is from RefSeq and is a predicted model, not a curated record. NCBI's taxonomy places the organism in Eukaryota, Metazoa, Chordata, Mammalia, Carnivora, Ursidae.